GCCUUCUUAGCUCAGCGGUAGAGCGUUCCACUCGUACCGACUGUACCGACUGUACCGACUGUACCGACUGUGAGAUGGAAAGGUCGCUAGUUCAAGUCUGGCAGGAGGCA
This 110-nucleotide transfer RNA is filed under the name Lentinula raphanica. RNAcentral describes it as "tRNA-Thr". It matches the Rfam family "tRNA". Rfam says of the family: Transfer RNA (tRNA) molecules are approximately 80 nucleotides in length. Their secondary structure includes four short double-helical elements and three loops (D, anti-codon, and T loops). The record is from RNAcentral. Lineage: Eukaryota; Fungi; Basidiomycota; Agaricomycetes; Agaricales; Omphalotaceae.